Molecule: long non-coding RNA, 1176 nt
Filed under: Nicotiana tabacum (common tobacco)
Lineage: Eukaryota; Viridiplantae; Streptophyta; Magnoliopsida; Solanales; Solanaceae
Description: long non-coding RNA (NTAB_LNC008996)
Source: RNAcentral
UGGGUCAAGCAGGAUAGCCAUAGCAAAGUAUAUAGACCGAGUCUACACAAAUCUUCCACCGAAUCACUCGGCUUUGUUGACUCACCAUCUUAAGCGUUUGAAGAACAGUGGUUACCUUGCUAUGGUCAAACACUCUUACAUGCUCGCCGGACCACCUGGAUCUGCUGCUCCUCCUCCUCCCGCCGACGUCGAUUCCAACGGUGUUGGUACUGAUGUUUCUUCUCUUACUAAAAGGAAACCUGGUCGUCCUCCUAAGCUCAAGCCCGAGGCCCAACCUCAAGUCCAAGCUCAAGUCCAGUUUCAAGAUCAACUUCAAGCCCAGCUUCAAGCCCAACUUCAAGCCCAACUUCAAGCCCAACAGCAGCAAGCAGCCCAGUUUCAACCUCAAUUCCAAACCCAGCCUCAAUUCAUCCAACAGCAGCCCCAGUACUUACCUCAACAACAGUUCCAACCCGACCCGUUACUCCAACCUCAGCAACAGUUCCAGACCCAGCCACAGACGCAGGCCUAUGCUGCUACUGAAGCCCAAAAUUAUGCGGGCCUUGGUGCCGAAUCCGUGUUUGUUUCUCUGGGGCUAGCUGAUGGGCCUGUUGGAGUUCAGAAUCCUGCUGUUGGGCUAGCUCCGGCACCGGGAGCGGAAGAGAGCACGACGAAGAAACGACCAGGUCGUCCCCGUAAGGAUGGAUCCACUGUAGUUAAACCGGUGGAACCCAAAUUACCGGACCAGAGUGGUGGUACUAAGAGGAGACCUGGUCGUCCUCCUAAGAGUACGACAGUUGAUGCUGCUCCUGGAUCAGCUAUGGGUACUGGACGACGAGGUCGGCCCAGGAAAAAUUCUGCUCCUGGACGACGAGGUCGGCCCAGGAAGAAUGCGGCUGUUGCUGCUGCCAAUGGCGGUGCCAAUGCCGCAAAUUUUCCUUCUGUUGGUGCCAAUGUGACAAAUGUUCCAGCUGGUGGUGUCCCGAGUGGAGCCAUACCGACACCUAAACGACGGGGACGGCCACCAAGGUCUAGUGGACCCCCUACUGCUACUGUGGGUGUUACAGAUGUGCCUAUUGCUGCUGCUUUUGAAACCGAAAACUUGCCUACUGCUGUUAGUGGUGGCGUCACAAAUAAUGGGGCUAUGCCUCCCCUCGGAAAGCGACGUGGACGGCCUCCAAAAUCUUACAGCGCUAC